Long non-coding RNA from Mastomys coucha (southern multimammate mouse), 745 nucleotides. RefSeq lists it as uncharacterized. NCBI's taxonomy places the organism in Eukaryota, Metazoa, Chordata, Mammalia, Rodentia, Muridae. The transcript is spliced from 2 exons. The record is from RefSeq and is a predicted model, not a curated record.
CUGGGCCUCAGUUUCUCAUUCCUUAGCACACCUUAAGUAGUAAUAUUAUCUGGACGCUUUUAGAAACAUUUUUGACCCCCUGAAUCAAUUUGUGAGUGACAGGAGUUAUCUAAUGUGGACGGCUCUUGCCUUUAAAAAAAAAAUCUUAACUACCCGAAGGUAUUUAAGAAAUGCUAUCCUUUGCAGUGUUAAAACAGAAAGCUGGAAAGAUGGGCAAUAUAAAACUAAAUGAUCCUUAUUGUGGGUUUGUCCCCUGCUUCUACCUGACGUCAAGGGACCACAAAGUCCAGGACGCUGGAUUUCUAGCCCUCCCAUUUCUGAUUGCGCCUGGGCUCCAGACAGCAAACUCUGAAACUGGGAACCAGCACAAGAAAUCUCCCAAACAACCCCUUCCGCUCUGCCUUGAGCUCCAGGGAAGGAGGCAUCUGAUACUCAGAAUGUGUGGGGGAGUCAUUUCUCUCUUCAGAUCUUUCUCCAUUUUCUCACACCUGCUGGCUUCUGCUUCUUGAUGGUCCCACCCUUAACUCCAGGUGCACAUGUGGGAAGCUGGCAGCACAGCAGAAUCGAGCAAUACAGCUCUCACCUAUAGCUUUCUGAUGAAGCCUUAAUAAUGACAGUGAUACAUGCAAUGCUUCUCUGUACUAAUGAGCACCGAACCAAGAAAACAAUCUUGAAAGGGAAGAGGAGAAGAUAUAUUAAUUCUAUAGAAAUGUUUUGCAUAAUUGUGAUUUCUUAUCAUAAACAA